RNAcentral lists this transfer RNA (76 nucleotides) under Nitrospiraceae bacterium. RNAcentral's name for it is "tRNA-Lys". It matches the Rfam family "tRNA". From Rfam's summary of the family: Transfer RNA (tRNA) molecules are approximately 80 nucleotides in length. The record is from RNAcentral. RNAcentral also lists the same sequence under 2 other names. Lineage: Bacteria; Pseudomonadati; Nitrospirota; Nitrospiria; Nitrospirales; Nitrospiraceae.
GAGCCGCUAGCUCAGAAGGUAGAGCAUCGCCCUUUUAAGGCGAGGGCCCUGGGUUCGAGUCCCAGGCGGCUCACCA